Molecule: ribosomal RNA, 1377 nt
Filed under: uncultured bacterium
Lineage: Bacteria
Description: partial 16S ribosomal RNA
Rfam family: Bacterial small subunit ribosomal RNA
Source: RNAcentral
AGAGUUUGAUCCUGGCUCAGGAUGAACGCUGGCGGCGUGCCUAACACAUGCAAGUCGAACGGACUUACAUUGAAGCCUAGCGAUAUGUAAGUUAGUGGCGGACGGGUGAGUAACGCGUGGGUAACCUGCCUUGUACUGGGGGACAACAGUUGGAAACGACUGCUAAUACCGCAUAAGCGCACAGCUUCGCAUGAAGCGGUGUGAAAAACUCCGGUGGUACAAGAUGGACCCGCGUCUGAUUAGCUGGUUGGUGAGGUAACGGCCCACCAAGGCGACGAUCAGUAGCCGGCCUGAGAGGGUGAACGGCCACAUUGGGACUGAGACACGGCCCAAACUCCUACGGGAGGCAGCAGUGGGGAAUAUUGCACAAUGGGGGAAACCCUGAUGCAGCAACGCCGCGUGAGUGAAGAAGUAUUUCGGUAUGUAAAGCUCUAUCAGCAGGAAAGAAAAUGACGGUACCUGACUAAGAAGCCCCGGCUAACUACGUGCCAGCAGCCGCGGUAAUACGUAGGGGGCAAGCGUUAUCCGGAUUUACUGGGUGUAAAGGGAGCGUAGACGGUUUUGCAAGUCUGAAGUGAUAGCCCGGGGCUUAACCCCGGGACUGCUUUGGAAACUGUAGAACUAGAGUGCAGGAGAGGUAAGUGGAAUUCCUAGUGUAGCGGUGAAAUGCGUAGAUAUUAGGAGGAACACCAGUGGCGAAGGCGGCUUACUGGACUGUAACUGACGUUGAGGCUCGAAAGCGUGGGGAGCAAACAGGAUUAGAUACCCUGGUAGUCCACGCCGUAAACGAUGAUUACUAGGUGUUGGUGGGUAUGACCCAUCGGUGCCGCAGCAAACGCAAUAAGUAUUCCACCUGGGGAGUACGCCGGCAACGGUGAAACUCAAAGGAAUUGACGGGGGCCCGCACAAGCGGAGGAACAUGUGGUUUAAUUCGAUGAUACGCGAGGAACCUUACCCGGGCUUGAAUUGCAACUGAAUGAUGUGGAGACAUGUCAGCCGCAAGGCAGUUGUGAAGGUGCUGCAUGGUUGUCGUCAGCUCGUGCCGUGAGGUGUCGGCUUAAGUGCCAUAACGAGCGCAACCCUUAUCGAUAGUUACCAUCAGGUUAUGCUGGGGACUCUGUCGAGACUGCCGUCGUAAGAUGUGAGGAAGGUGGGGAUGACGUCAAAUCAGCACGGCCCUUACGUCCGGGGCUACACACGUGUUACAAUGGGGGGUACAGAAGGCAGCUACACGGCGACGUGAUGCUAAUCCCUAAAGCCUCUCUCAGUUCGGAUAGGAGUCUGCAACCCGACUCCAUGAAGCUGGAUUCGCUAGUAAUCGCGCAUCAGCCACGGCGCGGUGAAUACAAUCCCGGGCCUUGUACACACCGCCCGUCA